CGUCAUGACGCAAAAUAUCGGUGUUUAUGUUUACUUUUAUGUUAAUGUGAACAGGUGUGUGGAUGAUGUCUCAGACUCCGUGCUAGUCAGAACCGGCAGGAUUCUCAUGCGACAGAACUUCUGGACCAGCUGGAGAUAUGUUCUACUUGAAGUGAGACGUGAAGUUUCAGUCGUUCAGCGUUAAUUGUUUAUGCUAGCUCGUUAGCCUGCUAGUGUUUGUUGUUAGCAUCCAUUAGCAAAGUGAAUGGGCUCGUUAGCAACUGUUUAGCGAACUCGGCUGACGCUAAAUGCGUUCGUUCAUCGUUUUUCGACAUGAAAACUGAAGAUAUAUCACAGACUGAUACGAACUGACACUGAACCAACGCUUGGUGGUGAUGGACGGCGCCGGAGGAGCGACGCUGUCGUUGGACGUUUGUCCGCCAUCUUGUUCUACAUGGAGACUGGUCAGAGCUGCUUCUCUGGACACCUGCCGGCCUGCAGACUGGACUCAGAUCGCUUUAACAAGGUGCGUGAUGGGCAGCAGGUUGUGGUUACUGAGGCCGCAGCCGAUUCCAGGCUGGGAGUAGAGCAGUCCGCUGGGGUUACUGCCGGGGAGGGACACGCCCAUGUCGUAGUUGGAGGGAGGCAGACCCUGCUGGACAGAUCAGGAGCUGGUUAACAUCACUGAGAAGUCAACAGGAUGUUGAAUCAACCAGUUAGCUUGCCUGAGACGUCACGACUGAGCUUUGCAGAGAUUUGGGAAGUGUGUGUCGGCUCGUCUGUCAGCACCUGUGACCUGUAGUUACCCAUAAGCCCCAGGAGGUGUUUACCUGUAUCCUCAGAGAAGAGCAAUCCUUCAGGAGAAGAGAUGAGACAGAAACGAUGUCCAGAACUACAGAGUUUUUCCUCUGAGGCACUUCCACAUUUGCUCCAGAUGUCAGUCGUUGCGCCGGCUGCUCACACAUCAUGUGUGUGUGACUAAUGAUGAAUGUUUGAGCACGUGGGAACACCAGUAAACCACUUUCUUUCUGGACAAUAAGCCCCUCUGAACUGACACUUCAACCUCAGCGCUGCACAUAACCUGGUCCGACCUCUCCGCUCUCGGACCCGUCAACGUUCAGACACUUUGGCCCUUCAUCAACGCGAGGAGGAGGAGGAGGAGGAGGAGGAGGAAGUUUUAAAAAAUGUUGUGUUUUCUAUUAGCAGUCGACAAACCUCCUGUUAAUCUCUGGAGGCCAUCAGCCACAACAUAAGAAGAGAAGAAGAGCGCACGCAGACAUUAGUUCUGCUAAUAAAAGUGGACAUGUGCAGGACUAUCGGUGCAUGCAGUGUGUGUGUGUGUGUGUGUGUGUGUGUGUGUGCCAUGUGACCCGCGUCUUGCUCCUGAAGUGGAGCUUAAGAGCUCCGGGUCGCCGAGUUAACUGGAUGUUCACACACGCUGAGACAGACACACACCGACACAAACCAAACACAAACACACACGACAGGUUUUCUUGGCAGCUCUCCGACGUCAUCACAGCGGGGCGAAGGAGAAAAGAAAAAAAAAAAAAAAAGGCGUGCUUGCGUUUCAGGAGGUGGCAGCCCUCGGGCUCGCAGGAUGAAAUGGAGAGUGAAAUUGGGAUUUGUUGAAGACGUAAUGAGAUGACGCGGCGUGCCGCUCUCGGAACAAGAAUGCAGAGAAUGACGCCGGCGCUGCUUUUAAGUCAACACGGUCGUUAAGAAUGUGGCUGAGUCGCUUCACCCCCCUCAUCGCUGUUAUGACAUCAUAAAGAUAUUUUUGAUUAAAUCUGACAGAAGCCGGAUAACAACUAUUAUUAAAUGGGUUAAAAGCAUGUUUACAUAUGCGUCACAAACUGUAAUACCCCUCCAUAACCAGCAGGAGAAUCACUUACGACAUAAGUUUUAAUAAAUACAUCAGUCUCCCGGUAACCGGAUACUGCUGUCAUUCUGACGACGAGUAUGACGAGGAAGUGUGUAGAAGAAGAAAAAACAUCACGAGUACCGUACGAGUCCCACAGGGGCAUCUGACCAAAGCGUCCACAACAGCCAAACAGGUGCAGUGAUUCAAAAGAGGUCAAUGGACCGUUAAAGGUCGCACCAACGGAAAUAGGUCCAACGUAGGCGUACGUUCCAACUUAAAAUCUUACACCUUCCCCUCAGUAGCUGCUCGGUAACAGAGCGUCGAUAUAUUAACAUGAAUAUAUGUUGUGGCCGAUGGUUUAUUGGGCACGAGAGACAACACACUAACAAACACUGCGGUAAGAAUAGUGCUUUUGAACGAUCAGCCACAGGAAGUGAAAAUAUCAUUUUCCACGGUUAUAUGUUGGUUAGUUUGGACGUCACACACGAGUAGUUUAGAUGAACAUAACGUGUCUGCGGUGCGACCAGACAACGACACAAGUUUAAAUCCCUGCAAAUCCCUGAGCGUCAGUGUUCGACUACUUGGGAAUGACACUUUCUCACCAACAGCAGUAAUUUAAAGUAAUUUAAAGUACAUUUUCAGCUCCUCAACUGUAAGAAUUUUGCAGCUUUUCUCUGUUUUAUGUAACUAUGGAUUAAGUCUUAUUCUUAGACUGUUGUUAGGACAAAACAAACAAUCUGAAGAUGUCAUUUGGAUUCUGGAGACUCUUUUCUUGAUGAACCGAUUAGUUUUGUGUUCUUUAUAAUAUUAGAAAAUCAUUAAAAAAUGUCAGAAAGUUUCCUGAAGGCUGAAGUUUACGUCCUUGAAUGUCUUUUUUUUGUCCUGUGAUAUUAAGUUUACUGUCAGAAAGGAUGAAACAAACUUCACAUUUUUCACAUUUAAGUUUAAAUUUUGAUUGGCUGGUCAUCAAAAUGCGUGUCGACUAAUUCAAUAGUUGACAACUCAUUGAUUUAAUCAAUGCAGCUCUACUAAACAGAUCAAUAAAAGAUGAUAAUGAUUAGUCACAGCUCCUAAUAAACUGCCCUGUUUAAUUUCCAGCCCUUCUGUUUUCCCCUGCGCCUUGUUUUCCUACAGUAGGAACGGAUACCAAGUGACAGCUCCUGUCGUGAACUCAUAAUUGAUGUGUUUUACCAAAACAAACACUUUGAUAAAGCGCAGCGCUGUGAUACUAUCAAAAAUCAUCUGCGGCGAGCAGCGACACGCCAGCCGGAGAGUAUUACAUGAAUAUCUAGUGUCUGAGUCACGCUGCCUGUGAGCCUACCUCGCUUCAGGAAAACAGAACAAGGAUCAACACGGUUUAAAUUUAGAGCGCUCACAGACGAGCACACUCAGCAUGUUGUCGUAAAAAAGGGAAUUUUAGGCCAAACUGAGACGUGAGAUGUUGAGGGAACAUUUCAUGAAACAGUAAGAAUCGGUACGUGGGGGUGUGUGUGUGUGUGUGCGCGCUGUUAUCUGUAGGUGUGAUUUAAUGCGGAGUUUGAUC
Long non-coding RNA from Acanthopagrus latus (yellowfin seabream), 3383 nucleotides. RefSeq lists it as uncharacterized. The record is from RefSeq and is a predicted model, not a curated record. NCBI's taxonomy places the organism in Eukaryota, Metazoa, Chordata, Actinopteri, Spariformes, Sparidae. The transcript is spliced from 4 exons.